UGGGCCCGCGUAUCAUUAGCUAGUUGGUGAGAUAACAGCCCACUAAGGCAACGAUGAUUAGCCGGUCUGAGAGGGCGAACGGCCACAUUGGAACUGAGAGACGGUCCAAACUCCUACGGGAGGCAGCAGUGGGGAAUAUUGCGCAAUGGAGAAGAACUCUGACGCAGCAAUACCGCGUGAGCGAAGAAGGUCUUCGGAUCGUAAAGCUCUGUUAUCGGGGAAGAAGAAAAUGACGGUACCUGAUGAGCAAGUCCCGGCUAACUACGUGCCAGCAGCCGCGG
Molecule: ribosomal RNA, 281 nt
Filed under: uncultured bacterium
Lineage: Bacteria
Description: partial 16S ribosomal RNA
Rfam family: Bacterial small subunit ribosomal RNA
Source: RNAcentral